GACGAACGCUGGCGGCGUGCCUAAUACAUGCAAGUCGAGCGAAGUUUUUCUGGUGCUUGCACUAGAAAAACUUAGCGGCGAACGGGUGAGUAACACGUAAAGAACCUGCCUCAUAGACUGGGACAACUAUUGGAAACGAUAGCUAAUACCGGAUAACAGUAUUUCUCGCAUGAGAGAUAUUUAAAAGUUGGUUAUGCUAACACUAUGAGAUGGCUUUGCGGUGCAUUAGCUAGUUGGUGGGGUAAAGGCCCACCGAGGCGACGAUGCAUAGCCGACCUGAGAGGGGGAUCGGCCACACUGGGACUGGGACACGGCCCAGACUCCUACGGGAGGCAGCAGUAGGGAAUCUUCCGCAAUGGGCGAAAGCCUUACGGAGCAACGCCGCGUGAGUGAAGAAGGAUUUCGGUUCGUAAAGCUCUGUUGUUAGGGAAGAAUGGAUAUGUAGUAACUAUACAUGUAAGAGACGGUACCUAACCAGAAAGCCACGGCUAACUACGUG
Molecule: ribosomal RNA, 499 nt
Filed under: uncultured bacterium
Lineage: Bacteria
Description: partial 16S ribosomal RNA
Rfam family: Bacterial small subunit ribosomal RNA
Source: RNAcentral